This 492-nucleotide ribosomal RNA is filed under the name uncultured Sphingobacteriales bacterium. RNAcentral describes it as "bacterial SSU rRNA". It matches the Rfam family "Bacterial small subunit ribosomal RNA", at positions 887 to 1382 of the family's 1533-position model. The record is from RNAcentral. Lineage: Bacteria; Pseudomonadati; Bacteroidota; Sphingobacteriia; Sphingobacteriales.
GCCCGCUCAGAAACUCAAAGGAAUUGACGGGGCCCGGCACAAGCGGUGGAGCAUGUGGUUUAAUUCGAUGAUACGCGAGGAACCUUACCUGGGCUCAAAUGUAUGUUGACGUAUUCUGAAAGGGAUACUUCUUCGGACAAUAUACAAGGUGCUGCAUGGUUGUCGUCAGCUCGUGCCGUGAGGUGUCGGGUUAAGUCCCAUAACGAGCGCAACCCCUAUCAUUAGUUGCCAUCAGGUCAAGCUGGGGACUCUAAUGAAACUGCCUACGCAAGUAGUGAGGAAGGUGGGGAUGACGUCAAAUCAGCACGGCCCUUACGUCCAGGGCUACACACGUGCUACAAUGGCCGGUACAAAGGGCAGCUACCUGGUGACAGGAUGCUAAUCUCAAAAGCCGGUCUCAGUUCGGAUCGGAGUCUGCAACUCGACUGCGUGAAGUCGGAAUCGCUAGUAAUCGUGAAUCAGAAUGUCACGGUGAAUACGUUCCCGGGCCUU